This 376-nucleotide ribosomal RNA is filed under the name uncultured bacterium. Its description in RNAcentral is "bacterial SSU rRNA". It matches the Rfam family "Bacterial small subunit ribosomal RNA", at positions 524 to 898 of the family's 1533-position model. The record is from RNAcentral.
UACGGAGGGUGCGAGCGUUAAUCGGAAUUACUGGGCGUAAAGGGUGCGUAGGUGGUUUAAUAAGUUAUCUGUGAAAGCCCUGGGCUCAACCUGGGAAGGUCAGAUAAGACUGUUAGACUGGAGUAUGGGAGAGGGUAGUGGAAUUUCCGGUGUAGCGGUGAAAUGCGUAGAGAUCGGAAGGAACACCAGUGGCGAAGGCGGCUACCUGGCCUAAUACUGACACUGAAGCACGAAAGCGUGGGGAGCAAACAGGAUUAGAUACCCUGGUAGUCCACGCUGUAAACGAUGUCAACUAGCUGUUGGUCAUAUGAAUGUGAUUAGUGGCGCAGCAAACGCGAUAAGUUGACCGCCUGGGGAGUACGGUCGCAAGAUUAAA